RNAcentral lists this small nuclear RNA (116 nucleotides) under Suricata suricatta (meerkat). RNAcentral describes it as "U2 spliceosomal RNA (ENSSSUG00005002351.1)". It matches the Rfam family "U2 spliceosomal RNA". From Rfam's summary of the family: U2 is a small nuclear RNA (snRNA) component of the spliceosome (involved in pre-mRNA splicing). Complementary binding between U2 snRNA (in an area lying towards the 5' end but 3' to hairpin I) and the branchpoint sequence (BPS) of the intron results the bulging out of an unpaired adenosine, on the BPS, which initiates a nucleophilic attack at the intronic 5' splice site, thus starting the first of two transesterification reactions that mediate splicing. Lineage: Eukaryota; Metazoa; Chordata; Mammalia; Carnivora; Herpestidae. The record is from Rfam by way of RNAcentral.
AUCGCUUCUCAGCCUUGUGGCUAAGAUCAAAUGUAGUAUCUGUUCUUAUCAAUUUAAUAUUAUGUCCCUGCCUUUGGCUUCUAAAUUUUCUGCUAAAAAAUCUGCUGUGAGCCCUA